GCCAUGGUAGCCUAGUGGUCAAGGUAACGAACUUGUAGCCGGCGUGUCAUGAGUUCCAGCUUAAUGCAGCUGAAGACCAGCAGUGUAGAUGGAAUGUCGAGGCUCAAACGUCCUCCCAUUGGCG
Molecule: non-coding RNA, 124 nt
Organism: Trichonephila inaurata madagascariensis
Lineage: Eukaryota; Metazoa; Arthropoda; Arachnida; Araneae; Nephilidae
Source: the annotation of a GenBank genome assembly